RNAcentral lists this ribosomal RNA (896 nucleotides) under Plectosphaerella cucumerina. Its description in RNAcentral is "eukaryotic LSU rRNA". It matches the Rfam family "Eukaryotic large subunit ribosomal RNA", at positions 38 to 958 of the family's 3401-position model. The record is from RNAcentral. Lineage: Eukaryota; Fungi; Ascomycota; Sordariomycetes; Glomerellales; Plectosphaerellaceae.
GCAUAUCAAUAAGCGGAGGAAAAGAAACCAACAGGGAUUGCCUCAGUAACGGCGAGUGAAGCGGCAACAGCUCAAAUUUGAAAUCUGGCUCCUUCGGGGCCCGAGUUGUAAUUUGCAGAGGAUGCGUCGGGUACGGGUGCCUUCCGAGUUCCCUGGAACGGGACGCCAUAGAGGGUGAGAGCCCCGUCUGGUAGGACACCCAGCCCGUGUGACGCUCCCUCGACGAGUCGAGUAGUUUGGGAAUGCUGCUCUAACGGGAGGUAUACUCCUUCCAAGGCUAAAUACCGGCUGGAGACCGAUAGCGCACAAGUAGAGUGAUCGAAAGAUGAAAAGCACUUUGAAAAGAGAGUCAAACAGCACGUGAAAUUGUUAAAAGGGAAGCGCUCGCUACCAGACUUGGGUUCGGCGGUUCAACCGGGGCCACGCCCCGGGGCAUUCCGCCGGCCCAGGCCAGCAUCAGCUUUCCGUCGGGGGUAAAGGCGUCGGGAAUGUGGCUCCCCUUCGGGGGAGUGUUAUAGCCCGUCGUGUCAUACCCUUCGGGGGGCUGAGGUACGCGCUUCUGCAAGGAUGCUGGCGUAAUGGUAGCUAGUGACCCGUCUUGAAACACGGACCAAGGAGUCAACCUUAUGUGCGAGUGCCCGGGCGUAAAACCCCAGCGCGGAAUGAAAGUGAACGUAGGUGAGAGCUUCGGCGCAUCACCGACCGAUCCUGAUGUCCUCGGACGGAUUUGAGUGAGAGCAUAUAGGGUUGGACCCGAAAGAAGAUGAACUAUGCGUGUGUAGGGUGAAGCCAGAGGAAACUCUGGUGGAGGCUCGCAGCGGUUCUGACGUGCAAAUCGAUCGUCAAACAUGCGCAUGGGGGCGAAAGACUAAUCGAAUCUUCUGGUAGCUGGUUUC